UACGUAGGGCGCAAGCGUUAUCCGGAAUUAUUGGGCGUAAAGAGCUCGUAGGCGGUUUGUCGCGUCUGCCGUGAAAGCCCGGGGCUCAACUCCGGAUCUGCGGUGGGUACGGGCAGACUAGAGUGAUGUAGGGGAGACUGGAAUUCCUGGUGUAGCGGUGAAAUGCGCAGAUAUCAGGAGGAACACCGAUGGCGAAGGCAGUUCUCUGGGCAUUAACUGACGCUGAGGAGCGAAAGCAUGGGGAGCGAACAGG
This 253-nucleotide ribosomal RNA is filed under the name uncultured bacterium. RNAcentral's name for it is "partial 16S ribosomal RNA". It matches the Rfam family "Bacterial small subunit ribosomal RNA", at positions 524 to 776 of the family's 1533-position model. The record is from RNAcentral.